RNAcentral lists this ribosomal RNA (460 nucleotides) under uncultured bacterium. RNAcentral describes it as "partial 16S ribosomal RNA". It matches the Rfam family "Bacterial small subunit ribosomal RNA", at positions 338 to 795 of the family's 1533-position model. The record is from RNAcentral.
CCUACGGGAGGCAGCAGUGAGGAAUAUUGGUCAAUGGGCGGGAGCCUGAACCAGCCAAGCCGCGUGAGGGCAGAAGGUACAGCGUAUCGUAAACCUCUUUUGUCAGGGAACAAAGGCGGGGACUAGUCCCCGGAUGAGGGUACCUGAAGAAAAAGCAUCGGCUAACUCCGUGCCAGCAGCCGCGGUAAUACGGAGGAUGCGAGCGUUAUCCGGAUUUACUGGGUGUAAAGGGCGCGUAGGCGGGAUAGCAAGUCAGUCGUGAAAUGCCGAGGCUUAACCUCGGAGCUGCGAGUGAAACUGUUAUUCUUGAGUAUCGGAGAGGAAAGCGGAAUGCCUAGUGUAGCGGUGAAAUGCGUAGAUAUUAGGAGGAACACCAGUGGCGAAGGCGGCUUUCUGGACGACAACUGACGCUGAGGCGCGAAAGUGUGGGGAGCAAACAGGAUUAGAUACCCUUGUAGUC